UAAUGGCAGGUCAGCAUACUGCCGUGAAUACGUUCCCGGGCCCUUGUACACACCGCCCGUCACACCAUGAGAGUUGGGAAUACCCGAAGCCUGUGAGCUAACUUUACGAGGCAGCAGUCGAAGGUAGAAUCAAUGAUUGGGGUGAAGUCGUAACAAGGUACC
Molecule: ribosomal RNA, 162 nt
Filed under: uncultured bacterium
Lineage: Bacteria
Description: partial 16S ribosomal RNA
Rfam family: Bacterial small subunit ribosomal RNA
Source: RNAcentral